RNAcentral lists this transfer RNA (642 nucleotides) under Rhizobium sp. RNAcentral's name for it is "partial 16S-23S ribosomal RNA intergenic spacer". The stretch from base 172 to 245 matches the Rfam family "tRNA". Lineage: Bacteria; Pseudomonadati; Pseudomonadota; Alphaproteobacteria; Hyphomicrobiales; Rhizobiaceae. The record is from RNAcentral.
CCCCGGUAUGAACCUUCCCGUGCUUUUUAGAACAUAGAUGGCACCAGUCAGGUGACCAUCGAAACGUAAUACGCCGCGUAGACUUCGGUCACGACGGUAUGGCGAGCUUUCGCCGUCCACGUUUCUCUUUCUUCAAGAAGACAAAAAACCGUAUCGACCGGUUCCCCGAAUGGGCCCGUAGCUCAGUUGGUUAGAGCACACGCUUGAUAAGCGUGGGGUCGGAAGUUCAAGUCUUCCCGGGCCCACCAUUUACUUGAUGUGAAUGAUGGUUUGGGAUGAUGGAAUGGCAGUUGAUGCGGAUUGUUGCCGAACCCGGGAUGUGUCCUGGGCGAUCGAGCUGAUGGGGCUGUAGCUCAGCUGGGAGAGCACCUGCUUUGCAAGCAGGGGGUCAGCGGUUCGAUCCCGCUCAGCUCCACCAAAUCGAUUGGUGUUGAGACUGACGGCAUUUGUCUUUUGAAGAAAUACAAGUUUUGCAUCGGCUUUGAGCCUGAUGCCUGUUCUGCAUAUAUCGUGAAGAGAAGAUUGAUCUGGAGGCUUCCAGGUGUUUUGGGUUCUGCCCAAAGCGUCCGAGCCCAGUUCCUGUGAACCCAUGGAUGGCCUAGCCGGCCGGAUGUGGUGGAGGGAUUGGAGGUAGGAAGGAAG